GUGAGGAAUAUUGGUCAAUGGGCGGGAGCCUGAACCAGCCAAGUCGCGUGAAGGAAGAAGGAUCUAUGGUUCGUAAACUUCUUUUGCAGGGGAAUAAAGUGCAGGACGUGUCCUGUUUUGUAUGUACCCUGAGAAUAAGGAUCGGCUAACUCCGUGCCAGCAGCCGCGGUAAUACGGAGGAUCCGAGCGUUAUCCGGAUUUAUUGGGUUUAAAGGGUGCGUAGGUGGUUUGAUAAGUCAGCGGUGAAAGUUUGCAGCUUAACUGUAAAAUUGCCGUUGAAACUGUCGAGCUUGAGUGCAAAUGAGGUAAGCGGAAUGUGUUGUGUAGCGGUGAAAUGCUUAGAUAUAACACAGAACACCGAUUGCGAAGGCGACUUACUGGGCCGUAACUGACGCUGAUGCGCGAAAGCGUGGGGAGCAAACAGGAUUAGAUACCCGUGUAGUCC
RNAcentral lists this ribosomal RNA (445 nucleotides) under uncultured bacterium. Its description in RNAcentral is "partial 16S ribosomal RNA". It matches the Rfam family "Bacterial small subunit ribosomal RNA", at positions 354 to 796 of the family's 1533-position model. The record is from RNAcentral.